UGAGGAAUAUUGGUCAAUGGGCGGUAGCCUGAACCAGCCAAGUAGCGUGAAGGAUGAAGGUUCUAUGGAUUGUAAACUUCUUUUAUAAAGGAAUAAAGUGAGGCACGUGUGCCUUUUUGUAUGUACUUUAUGAAUAAGGAUCGGCUAACUCCGUGCCAGCAGCCGCGGUAAUACGGAGGAUCCGAGCGUUAUCCGGAUUUAUUGGGUUUAAAGGGAGCGUAGAUGGGUUGUUAAGUCAGUUGUGAAAGUUUGCGGCUCAACCGUAAAAUUGCAAUUGAUACUGGCGUCCUUGAGUACAGUUGAGGUGGGCGGAAUUCGUGGUGUAGCGGUGAAAUGCUUAGAUAUCACGCAGAACUCCGAUUGCGAAGGCAGCAUACCGGCGCCCGACUGACGCUCAUGCACGAAAGCGUGGGGUAUCGAACAGGAUUAGGAUACC
This 436-nucleotide ribosomal RNA is filed under the name uncultured bacterium. Its description in RNAcentral is "bacterial SSU rRNA". It matches the Rfam family "Bacterial small subunit ribosomal RNA", at positions 355 to 786 of the family's 1533-position model. The record is from RNAcentral.